UACACACCGCCCGUCACACCACGAAAGCCUGUUGUACCUGAAGUCGUUGGCGCCAACCGCAAGGAGGCAGACGCCCACGGUAUGGCCGGUGAUUGGGGUGAAGUCGUAACAAGGUACCC
RNAcentral lists this ribosomal RNA (119 nucleotides) under uncultured bacterium. RNAcentral describes it as "partial 16S ribosomal RNA". It matches the Rfam family "Bacterial small subunit ribosomal RNA", at positions 1384 to 1501 of the family's 1533-position model. The record is from RNAcentral.